Long non-coding RNA from Bradysia coprophila, 92 nucleotides. NCBI's taxonomy places the organism in Eukaryota, Metazoa, Arthropoda, Insecta, Diptera, Sciaridae. The record is from RefSeq and is a predicted model, not a curated record.
AAGGCGCCAGAUUUAAGCUCUGGUUCCCGAAGGGGAGCGUGGGUUCGAACCCCACACCUGACAAAUUUUAUUUAAUCCACAAAAUUGUAAUU